This is a small nucleolar RNA of Rattus norvegicus (Norway rat), 93 nucleotides long. Ensembl annotates it as small nucleolar RNA SNORA17. Lineage: Eukaryota; Metazoa; Chordata; Mammalia; Rodentia; Muridae. The record is from Ensembl.
CCUGUCCCUAGAGGCACUGCAGGCGUGGCUGCUGUGUCACAUGUGCAUUGGUAGGUGACAGAGAGUCAACCUAUGAACAUCCGAAUGACUAAU